GAGGCACUGACAACUACUUAUCAAAAAUACCUCUUGGCUGUGUUUGAACUUGAAUGUUCUUUGAUUAUCCCAAAAGCAACAGUAAAUUGAAUUCCAGAACUCAAGAAUUUGAGGCACAAGUAUCUCUGAAGGCAAAGAAUAAGGUUUCCAAUCAGGAAAAGGUAUCCUAAUCUCUCACCUGUCAGACUCUUCAAUCCUUCUGUGAAAAGUGACUGGAAUUCGGGAGAC
Molecule: long non-coding RNA, 228 nt
Organism: Pan troglodytes (chimpanzee)
Lineage: Eukaryota; Metazoa; Chordata; Mammalia; Primates; Hominidae
Exons: 3
Source: RefSeq, a predicted model, not a curated record